GUUACCCCGGAUGUACUAACGUCAUUUAAACUCGCCGAUGGCGGUAAACUUUCGUUCAUCAACAGAAGAGAGCAGACGCCGAUCAUAUUCCAGCUGUGGAGCACUGAGAGUGAGUGAGGCCUGAGCAAUGCGUCCAGCUGUGGUAACUGCUGUCUUGCUGUUGGUGAGCAUCCUGGACACUGUGACAGCCAAGCCUGAUUAUCCCAACUUUUGUAAACGUUUCUUAUUUCCGCCAUGUGGUGAGGGAGGGAGUCGCAUUGCUGUCGAUCGCUGCGUUACAUUCAUGAGGACUA
Perca fluviatilis (European perch) is the source of this 293-nucleotide long non-coding RNA. RefSeq lists it as uncharacterized. The record is from RefSeq and is a predicted model, not a curated record. Lineage: Eukaryota; Metazoa; Chordata; Actinopteri; Perciformes; Percidae. The transcript has 3 exons.